Molecule: ribosomal RNA, 1008 nt
Filed under: Staphylococcus aureus
Lineage: Bacteria; Bacillati; Bacillota; Bacilli; Caryophanales; Staphylococcaceae
Description: bacterial SSU rRNA
Rfam family: Bacterial small subunit ribosomal RNA
Source: RNAcentral
UUUAUGGAGAGUUUGAUCCUGGCUCAGGAUGAACGCUGGCGGCGUGCCUAAUACAUGCAAGUCGAGCGAACGGAUGAGAAGCUUGCUUCUCUGAUGUUAGCGGCGGACGGGUGAGUAACACGUGGAUAACCUACCUAUAAGACUGGGAUAACUUCGGGAAACCGGAGCUAAUACCGGAUAAUAUUUUGAACCGCAUGGUUCAAAAGUGAAAGACGGUCUUGCUGUCACUUAUAGAUGGAUCCGCGCUGCAUUAGCUAGUUGGUAAGGUAACGGCUUACCAAGGCAACGAUGCAUAGCCGACCUGAGAGGGUGAUCGGCCACACUGGAACUGAGACACGGUCCAGACUCCUACGGGAGGCAGCAGUAGGGAAUCUUCCGCAAUGGGCGAAAGCCUGACGGAGCAACGCCGCGUGAGUGAUGAAGGUCUUCGGAUCGUAAAACUCUGUUAUUAGGGAAGAACAUAUGUGUAAGUAACUGUGCACAUCUUGACGGUACCUAAUCAGAAAGCCACGGCUAACUACGUGCCAGCAGCCGCGGUAAUACGUAGGUGGCAAGCGUUAUCCGGAAUUAUUGGGCGUAAAGCGCGCGUAGGCGGUUUUUUAAGUCUGAUGUGAAAGCCCACGGCUCAACCGUGGAGGGUCAUUGGAAACUGGAAAACUUGAGUGCAGAAGAGGAAAGUGGAAUUCCAUGUGUAGCGGUGAAAUGCGCAGAGAUAUGGAGGAACACCAGUGGCGAAGGCGACUUUCUGGUCUGUAACUGACGCUGAUGUGCGAAAGCGUGGGGAUCAAACAGGAUUAGAUACCCUGGUAGUCCACGCCGUAAACGAUGAGUGCUAAGUGUUAGGGGGUUUCCGCCCCUUAGUGCUGCAGCUAACGCAUUAAGCACUCCGCCUGGGGAGUACGACCGCAAGGUUGAAACUCAAAGGAAUUGACGGGGACCCGCACAAGCGGUGGAGCAUGUGGUUUAAUUCGAAGCAACGCGAAGAACCUUACCAAAUCUUGACAUCCU